UACGAGCGGUCCAAACGUUAUUCGGAAUCACUGGGCUUACAGAGUUCGUAGGCGGUCCAGAAAGUGGGGUGUGAAAGCCCUCGGCUUAACCGAGGAACUGCGCUCCAAACUACUGGGCUAGAGGAAGAUAGAGGUGAGCAGAACUGAUGGUGGAGCGGUGAGAUGCGUUGAUAUCAUCAGGAAUACCGGAGGCGAAGGCGGCUCACUGGGUCUUUUCUGACGCUGAGGAACGAAAGCUAGGGGAGCAAACGGG
RNAcentral lists this ribosomal RNA (253 nucleotides) under uncultured bacterium. Its description in RNAcentral is "partial 16S ribosomal RNA". It matches the Rfam family "Bacterial small subunit ribosomal RNA", at positions 524 to 776 of the family's 1533-position model. The record is from RNAcentral.